This 76-nucleotide transfer RNA is filed under the name Thaumarchaeota archaeon 13_1_40CM_3_38_6. RNAcentral describes it as "tRNA-Ala". It matches the Rfam family "tRNA". Rfam says of the family: Transfer RNA (tRNA) molecules are approximately 80 nucleotides in length. The record is from RNAcentral. Lineage: Archaea; Thermoproteati; Nitrososphaerota. RNAcentral also lists the same sequence under 3 other names.
GGGCCGGUGGUCUAGCGGUAGUGACGCCGCGUUCGCAACGCGGAUGUCGGGGGUUCGAAUCCCCCCCGGUCCACCA